GGCUACACUAGAACUAUCAGUGCCCGGAUAACAGGCCAUCUACAGUGUAAGCUGCGCGGACCCUCCACGAAUAGUGUCCCGUGGUGAAUGUAUGCAGCCACUAUAUAAUUGUUACCUGCUGAGUUGUUUCCCCCGAAUGAACGUACUUCCGGUCCAGGGGUAUAUAGGUAUCUGGGGCAUUGCUAGACAUAGCAUGCAUCCUGGGAACACGCGGCAGAUCACAGCACACGGUUGGGCUGAGCCGCUGUCGUGAACUACCAUGACCUCAGGACACAUUACAUCUUGAGCAUGAUCACCAUAGUUACUUCAGGACCACCCACGAAGCUGGCAUGUCUCCGGCCGUGAACAUUGUUAUUUUGUUUUUAAGCUCCGUUAAGUGACCGCUGGUUCCUGUGUGAGUCUCCUGUGCAUUGUUUAAUGAUUGCACAUUUUGAAAUAUGAUAUCGUACUGCCUUUCUUGAAAAAGAUCCUGUGGAAGGAUCGAAACGUCGAUUUAUGAAGGCUGCAAUAAAGAACAUUGGAUAUUAAUCAAAGUUUGUGAAUAUAUAUAUGUGUAAGAGUGCGCCCGCCACCUUCGUGGACAUCUAUAGAUUCAGCGGACCUUGUUCUGUUGGGACAGCACCCACCCUGAAAUUUUGAUGCGAGUACAGGACUCUCUUUGUAUAUAUAUAUAUAUAUAUAUAUAUAUA
This is a long non-coding RNA of Pseudophryne corroboree (corroboree frog), 689 nucleotides long. RefSeq lists it as uncharacterized. The record is from RefSeq and is a predicted model, not a curated record. Lineage: Eukaryota; Metazoa; Chordata; Amphibia; Anura; Myobatrachidae. The transcript is spliced from 4 exons.